RNAcentral lists this ribosomal RNA (498 nucleotides) under Fusarium equiseti. Its description in RNAcentral is "eukaryotic LSU rRNA". The stretch from base 144 to 297 matches the Rfam family "5.8S ribosomal RNA". Lineage: Eukaryota; Fungi; Ascomycota; Sordariomycetes; Hypocreales; Nectriaceae. The record is from RNAcentral.
UUUACAACUCCCAAACCCCUGUGAACAUACCUAUACGUUGCCUCGGCGGAUCAGCCCGCGCCCUGUAAAAAGGGACGGCCCGCCCGAGGACCCUAAACUCUGUUUUUAGUGGAACUUCUGAGUAAAACAAACAAAUAAAUCAAAACUUUCAACAACGGAUCUCUUGGUUCUGGCAUCGAUGAAGAACGCAGCAAAAUGCGAUAAGUAAUGUGAAUUGCAGAAUUCAGUGAAUCAUCGAAUCUUUGAACGCACAUUGCGCCCGCCAGUAUUCUGGCGGGCAUGCCUGUUCGAGCGUCAUUUCAACCCUCAAGCUCAGCUUGGUGUUGGGACUCGCGGUAACCCGCGUUCCCCAAAUCGAUUGGCGGUCACGUCGAGCUUCCAUAGCGUAGUAAUCAUACACCUCGUUACUGGUAAUCGUCGCGGCCACGCCGUAAAACCCCAACUUCUGAAUGUUGACCUCGGAUCAGGUAGGAAUACCCGCUGAACUUAAGCAUAUCA